Molecule: long non-coding RNA, 334 nt
Organism: Engraulis encrasicolus (European anchovy)
Lineage: Eukaryota; Metazoa; Chordata; Actinopteri; Clupeiformes; Engraulidae
Exons: 4
Source: RefSeq, a predicted model, not a curated record
CAUGCAUGUUGACACAGCCAGCAGCGGGCACCCAUGGCACAUGGGGAUGGACCCAGGAGUGGAGGAUGACCCAAUAGGAUGAACGUUCAGCCCACUCACUGUUGACACCAGUGACACAGUAUUGACCAGAUCUCCUGGAAGUGCCCCCUGACGCAGACCCAGUUGUUGGGUAGCCACCCAUGCACGUUGACACAGCCAGCACCGAGCACCCAGGGGGAUGGAACCAGGAAUGGAGGAUGGUCCAAUAGGGUAGCAUCAUGAAGGCAGUUUACCCCUGAAACUUUUUACAAAGGACCAUCAUCGUCAGAGAAGUUCCUUUAACCCUUUAUCUCCC